UACAGAGAGUGCAAGCGUUAAUCGGAAUUACUGGGCGUAAAGCGCACGUAGGUGGGUACUUAAGUCGGUUGUGAAAGCCCCGGGCUUAACUUGGGAAUUGCAUCCGAUACUGGGCGCCUAGAGUAUGGUAGAGGGAAGUGGAAUUUCCGGUGUAGCGGUGAAAUGCGCAGAUAUCGGAAGGAACACCAGUGGCGAAGGCGGCUUCCUGGACCAAUACUGACACUGAGGUGCGAAAGCGUGGGGAGCAAACAGG
This 253-nucleotide ribosomal RNA is filed under the name uncultured bacterium. Its description in RNAcentral is "partial 16S ribosomal RNA". It matches the Rfam family "Bacterial small subunit ribosomal RNA", at positions 524 to 776 of the family's 1533-position model. The record is from RNAcentral.